This 524-nucleotide ribosomal RNA is filed under the name uncultured bacterium. Its description in RNAcentral is "partial 16S ribosomal RNA". It matches the Rfam family "Bacterial small subunit ribosomal RNA", at positions 28 to 523 of the family's 1533-position model. The record is from RNAcentral.
GACGAACGCUGGCGGCGUGCCUAAUACAUGCAAGUCGAGCGCAGGAAAUCGACGGAACCCUUCGGGGGGAAGUCGACGGAAUGAGCGGCGGACGGGUGAGUAACACGUAAAGAACCUGCCCUCAGGUCUGGGAUAACCACGAGAAAUCGGGGCUAAUACCGGAUGGGUCAUCGGACCGCAUGGUCCGAGGAUGAAAGGCGCUUCGGCGUCGCCUGGGGAUGGCUUUGCGGUGCAUUAGCUAGUUGGUGGGGUAAUGGCCCACCAAGGCGACGAUGCAUAGCCGACCGGAGAGGGUGAUCGGCCACACUGGGACUGAGACACGGCCCAGACUCCUACGGGAGGCAGCAGUAGGGAAUCUUCCACAAUGGACGAAAGUCUGAUGGAGCAACGCCGCGUGAACGGUGAAGGCCUUCGGGUCGUAAAGUUCUGUUGUAAGGGAAGAACAAGUGCCGCAGGCAAUGGCGGCACCUUGACGGUACCUUGCGAGAAAGCCACGGCUAACUACGUGCCAGCCGCCGCCGUAA